AAAGUUUGACAGACAAUCGCUGGCGGCUUCGUGCCGCGAGAGGAAAGUCCGGGCUCCAUAGGGCGAUGAUGCUGGAUAACGUCCAGUCGGCGCGAGCCGAAGGAUAGUGCCACAGAAAUGGACCGCCGAUGGCUGCGUCUUGACGCAGCACAGGCAAGGGUGGAACCGUGGUGUAAGAGACCACGAGGACCGUUGGUGACAACGGUGCUGGUAAACCCCAUCUGGAGCAAGACCGAGAGAACGCAGCAGCUUCGCGCUGCAUCCCUGCCCGGGACGCGUUCGGGUUGGUCGCUUGAGCUGAUUAGCAAUGAUCGGCCUAGAUAGAUGAUUGUCGCUUCACAAGUGGAAGGGUAGUUCCCGUUAUACCACGCGAAGUACAGAACCCGGCUUACGGCAAGCUUUCCAU
RNAcentral lists this RNase P RNA (406 nucleotides) under Paenibacillus rhizovicinus. RNAcentral's name for it is "Paenibacillus sp. 14171R-81 RNase P RNA component class A". It matches the Rfam family "Bacterial RNase P class A". Rfam says of the family: Ribonuclease P (RNase P) is a ubiquitous endoribonuclease, found in archaea, bacteria and eukarya as well as chloroplasts and mitochondria. The record is from RNAcentral. Lineage: Bacteria; Bacillati; Bacillota; Bacilli; Caryophanales; Paenibacillaceae.